AUUACGUCAGGUGAGCUACUUCUUGUUAGGGAAGUUGAGGAUGUUGCGAGCUCUGGUCGUGCUGUCAGCCCUGUGCGGCGCCUUGGUGUCCGCCGAUGGAUUCGCCAAGAAAUACGGCUACUCCAAGGUGAUGGCCAACUGCUUCGGCGAAGACCAGUACUACAGCUGGUCGAAGGAGGUGUUCAGGGCCGUCAAGGAUGC
Non-coding RNA from Penaeus vannamei (Pacific white shrimp), 201 nucleotides. The record is from RefSeq and is a predicted model, not a curated record. NCBI's taxonomy places the organism in Eukaryota, Metazoa, Arthropoda, Malacostraca, Decapoda, Penaeidae.